AGUUUGAUCAUGGKUCAGAACGAACGCUGGCGGCAGGCUUAACACAUGCAAGUCGAGCGAGACUUCGGGUCUAGCGGCGGACGGGUGAGUAACGCGUGGGAACGUGCCCUUCUCUACGGAAUAGCCCCGGGAAACUGGGAGUAAUACCGUAUACGCCCUUUGGGGGAAAGAUUUAUCGGAGAAGGAUCGGCCCGCGUUGGAUUAGGUAGUUGGUGAGGUAACGGCUCACCAAGCCGACGAUCCAUAGCUGGUUUGAGAGGAUGAUCAGCCACACUGGGACUGAGACACGGCCCAGACUCUACGGGAGGCAGCAGUGGGGAAUCUUAGACAAUGGGGGCAACCCUGAUCUAGCCAUGCCGCGUGAGUGAUGAAGGCCUUAGGGUUGUAAAGCUCUUUCAGCUGGGAAGAUAAUGACGGUACCAGCAGAAGAAGCCCCGGCUAACUCCGUGCCAGCAGCCGCGGUAAUACGGAGGGGGCUAGCGUUGUUCGGAAUUACUGGGCGUAAAGCGCACGUAGGCGGACUGGAAAGUCAGAGGUGAAAUCCCAGGGCUCAACCUUGGAACUGCCUUUGAAACUAUCAGUCUGGAGUUCGAGAGAGGUGAGUGGAAUUCCGAGUGUAGAGGUGAAAUUCGUAGAUAUUCGGAGGAACACCAGUGGCGAAGGCGGCUCACUGGCUCGAUACUGA
This 685-nucleotide ribosomal RNA is filed under the name Paracoccus sp. GWS-SE-H131. RNAcentral's name for it is "bacterial SSU rRNA". It matches the Rfam family "Bacterial small subunit ribosomal RNA", at positions 10 to 743 of the family's 1533-position model. Lineage: Bacteria; Pseudomonadati; Pseudomonadota; Alphaproteobacteria; Rhodobacterales; Paracoccaceae. The record is from RNAcentral.